This 181-nucleotide ribosomal RNA is filed under the name Escherichia coli. Its description in RNAcentral is "partial 16S ribosomal RNA". It matches the Rfam family "Bacterial small subunit ribosomal RNA", at positions 1 to 173 of the family's 1533-position model. The record is from RNAcentral. Lineage: Bacteria; Pseudomonadati; Pseudomonadota; Gammaproteobacteria; Enterobacterales; Enterobacteriaceae.
UUAAAUUGAAGAGUUUGAUCAUGGCUCAGAUUGAACGCUGGCGGCAGGCCUAACACAUGCAAGUCGAACGGUAACAGGAAUCAGCUUGCUGAUUCGCUGACGAGUGGCGGACGGGUGAGUAAUGUCUGGGAAACUGCCUGAUGGAGGGGGAUAACUACUGGAAACGGUAGCUAAUACCGCA